GAUCAUGGCUCAAAACGAACGCUGGCGGCAUGCCUCAUUCAUGCAAGUCAAACGAGGCCCUUCGGGGUUUAGGGGCGCACGGGUGCGUAACGCGGGGAAAUCUGCCCUUUGGUUCGAAAUAACAGCUGGAAACGGCUGCUAAUACCGGAUGAUGACAAAAGUCCAAAAAUUUAUCGCCAAAGGAUGACCCCGCGUUGGAUUAGGUAGUUGGGGGGGUAAAGGCCUACCAAGCCGACAAUCCAUAGCUGGUCUGAGAGGAUGAUCA
RNAcentral lists this ribosomal RNA (265 nucleotides) under uncultured bacterium. Its description in RNAcentral is "partial 16S ribosomal RNA". It matches the Rfam family "Bacterial small subunit ribosomal RNA", at positions 15 to 306 of the family's 1533-position model. The record is from RNAcentral.